This 24-nucleotide non-coding RNA is filed under the name Arabidopsis thaliana (thale cress). The record is from RNAcentral. Lineage: Eukaryota; Viridiplantae; Streptophyta; Magnoliopsida; Brassicales; Brassicaceae.
AUGCCUUACUUCCAUCCAUUCAUG